GACGAACGCUGGCGGCGUGCUUAACACAUGCAAGUCGAACGGAAAGGCCCUGCUUUUGUGGGGUGCUCGAGUGGCGAACGGGUGAGUAACACGUGAGUAACCUGCCCUUGACUGGGAUAACUUCGGGAAACCGGAGCUAAUACCGGAUAAUAUAUUGAACCGCAUGGUUCAAUAGUGAAAGACGGUUUUGCUGUCACUUAUAGAUGGAUCCGCGCCGCAUUAGCUAGUUGGUAAGGUAACGGCUUACCAAGGCAACGAUGCGUAGCCGACCUGAGAGGGUGAUCGGCCACACUGGAACUGAGACACGGUCCAGACUCCUACGGGAGGCAGCAGUAGGGAAUCUUCCGCAAUGGGCGAAAGCCUGACGGAGCAACGCCGCGUGAGUGAUGAAGGUCUUCGGAUCGUAAAACUCUGUUAUUAGGGAAGAACAAAUGUGUAAGUAACUAUGCACGUCUUGACGGUACCUAAUCAGAAAGCCACGGCUAACUACGUG
RNAcentral lists this ribosomal RNA (493 nucleotides) under uncultured bacterium. RNAcentral's name for it is "partial 16S ribosomal RNA". It matches the Rfam family "Bacterial small subunit ribosomal RNA", at positions 28 to 507 of the family's 1533-position model. The record is from RNAcentral.